Pogonomyrmex barbatus (red harvester ant) is the source of this 685-nucleotide long non-coding RNA. RefSeq lists it as uncharacterized. The record is from RefSeq and is a predicted model, not a curated record. Lineage: Eukaryota; Metazoa; Arthropoda; Insecta; Hymenoptera; Formicidae.
GAACGGGAAAAGUAAAAUGAGAAUGAAUGUAACGUUCGUGAGAGAGAGAAAACUAUAUCUUUUUCCGCAGUUAACUCAACGUUAAAAUAAUGCCGUUGAAGUAGGGCACAGCUAUUACGUAAAGAUACCAGAUCGUGCAAGUAGCAUCAAUGGCUUGCUCCAACCUGGAUACGUCAGGUAGAUUUCUCACGAGACUCUUUCGGCAAGAAUUCCAACUUCGCCAUUUAUCACAACCAGAUGAGAAAAAGAAAUGGACAUACGGCGAUAGCGAUAGCAGCAACCGGUACAAAUCACUUUUCCGAAGCAAGAUGUAGAGCAUUUACGAAAUGUCUGACGUUAAAUGUAAUGCAAACUUAUCACAAUAUGUAACUUUCACUGUGUUUCGCCAGAUGUUCUCGAUGUGCAACGUAAAUUUGUUACAAUGUGACAUGGAGAAGCGAGAGAAAUCUGGUUUGCAAAAUCCGUACAUUUAUCUUUCGUAGUUCAACAUUGCAAAUUUUAUCAAACAUCGCCCUUAAGACUCAGAUAAGAUUUGAUUAAAUAUAAGUUUCAAAAAUGUACACGCAUGUAUACGGUCUUAAUAAAAUAAUGCGACAAAGAUAUUUUUGCUUUUCUCCUCAGAUUCCCGAUUUAGGAAAACCGCGUGGCACGCAAGUUAUAUAUUAAGUUAAAAAAAAAAAAAAAA